Non-coding RNA from Procambarus clarkii (red swamp crayfish), 415 nucleotides. The record is from RefSeq and is a predicted model, not a curated record. Lineage: Eukaryota; Metazoa; Arthropoda; Malacostraca; Decapoda; Cambaridae.
UUUGAGUAAAUUUAGACUAAUUGUAAAAUGUUUCAGAUACAUGAAACGAGGGCUGGUAACUACCAUUUCUCAUGGGGCGUGAAUAAUACCUACAGCUGGGAUCAAGCGCACUCUUACGGCAACGUCUUGGCAGAGGCUUCUAACUAGUUAUUAAAAGACAAGGAUAAGGAAAACUUGGUUAUCGCCAAAGGUGGGAUCCAGUUCAUGUGGACAACGACCUGGAGGUAGUCAUCCGUGUACACUGUUCUACACCAACUGGUACUUCACUAGAGGGCGCGGUGACCACAGCCAGAAAGCAGGGAAGGCGACGGACAGUCUCGGUGCUGAAGAACAUCUAUAAAGACGGCAUAAACAGGCACGACAUUGCCUGUCACCACGUAAAGUCUCUCGUCUGAGACCAGCCUCUGAUAUUUUU